GAUCAUGGCUCAGGAUGAACGCUGGCGGCGUGCCUAACACAUGCAAGUCGAACGAAGCGCUUUGAAGUUUUCGGACAGAUGAGUGACUGAGUGGCGGACGGGUGAGUAACGCGUGGGUAACCUGCCUCAUACAGGGGGAUAACAGUUAGAAAUGACUGCUAAUACCGCAUAAGCGCACAGUACCGCAUGGUACAGUGUGAAAAACUCCGGUGGUAUGAGAUGGACCUGCGUCUGAUUAGCUAGUUGGUGAGGUAACGGCCCACCAAGGCGACGAUCAGUAGCCGACCUGAGAGGGUGACCGGCCACAUUGGGACUGAGACACGGCCCAAACUCCUACGGGAGGCAGCAGUGGGGAAUAUUGCACAAUGGGGGAAACCCUGAUGCAGCGACGCCGCGUGAGUGAAGAAGUAUUUCGGUAUGUAAAGCUCUAUCAGCAGGGAAGAAAAUGACGGUACCUGACUAAGAAGCCCCGGCUAACUACGUG
This 484-nucleotide ribosomal RNA is filed under the name uncultured bacterium. RNAcentral's name for it is "bacterial SSU rRNA". It matches the Rfam family "Bacterial small subunit ribosomal RNA", at positions 15 to 507 of the family's 1533-position model. The record is from RNAcentral.